CCGCCGCGCGCGGCGGGCCUACGGGAGGCAGCAGUGGGGAAUAUUGCACAAUGGGCGCAAGCCUGAUGCAGCCAUGCCGCGUGUAUGAAGAAGGCCUUCGGGUUGUAAAGUACUUUCAGCGGGGAGGAAGGUGUUGAGGCUAAUAACCUCAGCAAUUGACGUUACCCGCAGAAGAAGCACCGGCUAACUCCGUGCCAGCAGCCGCGUAAUA
RNAcentral lists this ribosomal RNA (211 nucleotides) under uncultured Gammaproteobacteria bacterium. RNAcentral describes it as "partial 16S ribosomal RNA". It matches the Rfam family "Bacterial small subunit ribosomal RNA", at positions 312 to 525 of the family's 1533-position model. The record is from RNAcentral. Lineage: Bacteria; Pseudomonadati; Pseudomonadota; Gammaproteobacteria.